GAGAGGAAGGAUAAGGACGCAAAGAAAAGAAGUAAAAAGAGGAGAAAGCAUAAAAGUUCAUCAAAGUCAAGUUCCAGCUCAUCUUCAGAAUCUUCAAGCAGCGACGAUGAGGAUAGGGGUUCAAGGAAGUCCAGAUCACAGUCGAGAUCAAAGAGAACAAGGAAGGAAAAGAAGAGCCAGUCAAGGUCCAAGCACAGAGGCAGUGAAAGCGAGGAGGAAGGCCCGGUACGCCUCUCUAAAUUCUUCGGGAAGUUGAGCGAGCCGUUUACCAUGGUGUUCUCAAUAUGAUGCUCAGCUGUUAAGAGGGUCUGGUCAAGUUGUGUGGCUUCCAAAAACUUUGUAAGCAACUGAUAAGUCAUUAUUAAAUCGCUGUACCUUGGAGGAUUUGAUGCCAUAUAUUUGAGACAUUGAACUGCUAUAUUUAUGUUAA
This is an RNA transcript of Zea mays, 430 nucleotides long. RefSeq lists it as uncharacterized. The transcript is spliced from 3 exons. NCBI's taxonomy places the organism in Eukaryota, Viridiplantae, Streptophyta, Magnoliopsida, Poales, Poaceae. The record is from RefSeq and is a predicted model, not a curated record.